This 465-nucleotide ribosomal RNA is filed under the name uncultured Klebsiella sp. RNAcentral describes it as "bacterial SSU rRNA". It matches the Rfam family "Bacterial small subunit ribosomal RNA", at positions 338 to 795 of the family's 1533-position model. The record is from RNAcentral. Lineage: Bacteria; Pseudomonadati; Pseudomonadota; Gammaproteobacteria; Enterobacterales; Enterobacteriaceae.
CCUACGGGCGGCUGCAGUGGGGAAUAUUGCACAAUGGGCGCAAGCCUGAUGCAGCCAUGCCGCGUGUGUGAAGAAGGCCUUCGGGUUGUAAAGCACUUUCAGCGGGGAGGAAGGCGGUGAGGUUAAUAACCUCAUCGAUUGACGUUACCCGCAGAAGAAGCACCGGCUAACUCCGUGCCAGCAGCCGCGGUAAUACGGAGGGUGCAAGCGUUAAUCGGAAUUACUGGGCGUAAAGCGCACGCAGGCGGUCUGUCAAGUCGGAUGUGAAAUCCCCGGGCUCAACCUGGGAACUGCAUUCGAAACUGGCAGGCUAGAGUCUUGUAGAGGGGGGUAGAAUUCCAGGUGUAGCGGUGAAAUGCGUAGAGAUCUGGAGGAAUACCGGUGGCGAAGGCGGCCCCCUGGACAAAGACUGACGCUCAGGUGCGAAAGUGUGGGGAGCAAACAGGAGUAGAUACCCGAGUAGUC